AACGUAGGAGGCGAGCGUUAUCCGGAGUUACUGGGCGUAAAGCGCGUGUAGGCGGCUUUUUAAGUGUGCUGUGAAAUGUCCCGGCUCAACCGGGAAGGUGCGGCGCAGACUGGAGGGCUGGAGGGUGACAGAGGCAGGUAGAAUUCCGGGUGUAGUGGUGAAAUGCGUAGAGAUCCGGAGGAAUACCAGUGGCGUAAGCGGCCUGCUGGGUCACAACUGACGCUGAGACGCGAAGGCAUGGGGAGCGAACGGGAUUAGAAACCCCCGUAGUCC
Molecule: ribosomal RNA, 273 nt
Filed under: uncultured bacterium
Lineage: Bacteria
Description: partial 16S ribosomal RNA
Rfam family: Bacterial small subunit ribosomal RNA
Source: RNAcentral